This 540-nucleotide ribosomal RNA is filed under the name uncultured eukaryote. RNAcentral's name for it is "bacterial SSU rRNA". It matches the Rfam family "Eukaryotic small subunit ribosomal RNA", at positions 24 to 563 of the family's 1831-position model. The record is from RNAcentral.
UCAUAUGCUUGUCUCAAAAAUUAACCCUUGCAUGUCUAAUUAUAAACAAAUUUAUACUGUGAAACUGCAAAUGGCUCAUUAAAUCAUUUAUAUUUUAUUUGAUGUUCUCUUGCUACAUGGAUAACUGUGGUAAUUCUAAAGCUAAUACAUGCAAUUAACCCCCGACUUCUGGGAGGGGUGUAUUUAUUAAAUAAAAAACCAACGCGGUUCCCCCCUCCUUUGGUGAUUCAUAAUACCUUCUCAAAUCGUAUGGCCUUGUGCCAACAAUGCUUCAUUCAAAUAUCUGCCCUAUCAACUUUCAAUGGUAGGAUAAAGCCCUACCAUGGUUUCAACGGUUAACGGGAAAUAAGGUUUCGAUUCCGGAAAGGGACCCUGAAAAACGGCUACCACAUCCAAGGAAGGCACCAGGCCCGCAAAUUACCCAUUCCCAACACGGGGAGGUAGUGACAAUAAAUAGUGAUAUAGGGCUCUUUUGGUUCUUAUAAUUGCAAUGAGUACAAUUAAAAUCCCUUAACGAGAAACAAUUGAAGGGCAAUUCUG